GAUCAUGGCUCAGGAUGAACGCUAGCUACAGGCUUAACACAUGCAAGUCGAGGGGCAGCAUUUCAGUUUGCUUGCAAACUGGAGAUGGCGACCGGCGCACGGGUGAGUAACACGUAUCCAACCGUGCCGAUAACUCGGGGAUAGCCUUUCGAAAGAAAGAUUAAUACCCCGAUGGUAUAAUUAGACCGCAUAGGUCUUGUUAUUAAAGAAUUUCGGUUAUCGAUGGGGAUGCGUUCCAUUAGG
Molecule: ribosomal RNA, 243 nt
Filed under: uncultured bacterium
Lineage: Bacteria
Description: partial 16S ribosomal RNA
Rfam family: Bacterial small subunit ribosomal RNA
Source: RNAcentral